CGGGCGGGUGCUAUACUGCAAGUCGAGCGGACUUUAAAAGCUUGCUUUUAAAGUUAGCGGCGGACGGGUGAGUAACACGUGGGCAACCUGCCUGUAAGACUGGGAUAACUUCGGGAAACCGGAGCUAAUACCGGAUAAUCCUUUUCUACUCAUGUAGAAAAGCUGAAAGACGGUUUACGCUGUCACUUACAGAUGGGCCCGCGGCGCAUUAGCUAGUUGGUGAGGUAACGGCUCACCAAGGCAACGAUGCGUAGCCGACCUGAGAGGGUGAUCGGCCACACUGGGACUGAGACACGGCCCAGACUCCUACGGGAGGCAGCAGUAGGGAAUCUUCCGCAAUGGACGAAAGUCUGACGGAGCAACGCCGCGUGAGUGAUGAAGGUUUUCGGAUCGUAAAACUCUGUUGUUAGGGAAGAACAAGUACAAGAGUAACUGCUUGUACCUUGACGGUACCUAACCAGAAAGCCACGGCUAACUACGUGCCAGCAGCCGCGGUAAUACGUAGGUGGCAAGCGUUGUCCGGAAUUAUUGGGCGUAAAGCGCGCGCAGGCGGUCCUUUAAGUCUGAUGUGAAAGCCCACGGCUCAACCGUGGAGGGUCAUUGGAAACUGGGGGACUUGAGUGCAGAAGAGAAGAGUGGAAUUCCACGUGUAGCGGUGAAAUGCGUAGAGGAUGUGGAGGAACACCAGUUGGGGAAGGCGACUCUUUGGUCUCGUAACUGACGCUGAGGCGCGCAAAGCGUGUGGGAGCAAACACGGAUUAUGAUAUCCCUGGGAGUUUCACGCCCGUAAAACGAGAAGUGGUAUGGUUGUUAGAGGGUUUUCGCCCUUUAGUGGUGCAGCCAAAGCAUUUAACACUCCGCCUGGGGAGUUCGGGCUCAAAGGUGAAAAUCAAAAGAAAUGACGGGGGGCCGCACCAGCGGGGGAGCAUGUGGGUUUAAUUGAAACAAAGCGAAAAAACCUUCCCCGUCUUGACAUCCUUUGGCACUUCCAGAGAUAGGGAGUUUCCCUUUCGGGGGCAGAAUGACAGGUGGUGCAUGGUUGUUGUCAGCUUGUGUUGUGAGAUGUUGGGUUAAGUUCCGCAACGAGCGCAACCCUUGAUUUUAGUUGCCAGCCUUUAGUUGGGCCCUUUAAGGUGACUGCCGGUGACCAACCGGAGGAAGGUGGGGAAGACGUCAAAUCAUCCUGCCCCUUAUGACCUGGGGUACACACGUGGUACAAUGGGAGGUACAAAGGGCAGCAAAACCGCGAGGUUGAGCCAAUUCCAUAAAACCCUUUUCAGUUCGGGAUGUAGGGUGCAACUUGCCUACCUGAAGCUGGAAUCGCUUGUAAUCGCGGAUCAGCAUGCCGCGGGGAAUACGUUCCCGGGCCUUGUACACACCCCCCGUCACACCCCGAGAGUUUGUAACCCCCGAAGUCGGUGGGGUAACCUUAAGGAGCCAGCCGCCUAAGGUCAUGAU
This 1458-nucleotide ribosomal RNA is filed under the name Niallia circulans. RNAcentral describes it as "bacterial SSU rRNA". It matches the Rfam family "Bacterial small subunit ribosomal RNA". The record is from RNAcentral. Lineage: Bacteria; Bacillati; Bacillota; Bacilli; Caryophanales; Bacillaceae.